This 319-nucleotide unclassified non-coding RNA is filed under the name Melitaea cinxia (Glanville fritillary). RNAcentral's name for it is "misc RNA ENSMCXG00005008445.1". The record is from RNAcentral. Lineage: Eukaryota; Metazoa; Arthropoda; Insecta; Lepidoptera; Nymphalidae.
AAGGAUAUUUCAUAAGAUGAUCAUAAUUUACUAAAAAAUCUUAACAAAAUUAAAUUAUAGAGAAUCGCAAAGUCCUGCACGUGCCCAAACAACAACUAAUGUAUCUCAUCCAGAGCAAAUAAAAACUGCCACAACAUCGGCUAACAAAUUUUGCAGUCCACAAACUUCCAUGUUCAACCAGUCCAAAGAAUCUCUUGCAAGAAUUAACAUGAAUAAGUUAUCAACAUCAAUUCUAGGACCAUCAAAUAAGAACUACCUUGCAGAUGGUUCUCUCUAUAAUUGGGACAGGGAAACUGUAUUGAUCUUUGGAGGAAUCGAU